RNAcentral lists this ribosomal RNA (240 nucleotides) under uncultured bacterium. Its description in RNAcentral is "partial 16S ribosomal RNA". It matches the Rfam family "Bacterial small subunit ribosomal RNA", at positions 333 to 572 of the family's 1533-position model. The record is from RNAcentral.
GCCGGCCUACGGGACGCAGCAGUGGGGAAUAUUGCACAAUGGGCGCGAGCCUGAUGCAGCGACGCCGCGUGCGGGAUGGAGGCCUUCGGGUUGUAAACCGCUUUUGUUCAGGGGCAGGGCACGGUCUUUUGCCGUGUUGAGUGGAUUGUUCGAAUAAGCACCGGCUAACUACGUGCCAGCAGCCGCGGUAAUACGUAGGGUGCAAGCGUUAUCCGGAUUUUUUGGGCGUAAACGGCUCGU